UUCUCGAGGUCCGGAAUCAAAGUCUGCUGGAACUUGUUGGGCAAAUCUGUUAAAUCUGUGAAUCCUGAAAACAGAUCAUCUUGAUCAUCUUCUUGGUCAAUCCAGCUGGAUUGUGCUUGUUUCGUUAUCUUCUGCUGGAUAGGUCUGGAUGUCUUUGGUGGAGGUGGGUUUGGUUGUUUUGUUCUUGGGUGUGCCUAGUUUUAGCAGAUCCGAGGAUUUCUUCGAGGAAAAUGAGGUAGGUUUGGUAGAGUUUGUGGCUUUCGAUGUGGAAUUUAGCUUUUUGAUCUUGGAGGUGGAAUUCAGCUUCUUGAGCUCAAUCUUAGAAAAAACACUGGAAGUGGAAGCUGCUUUGGUAGAAUUCGUAGAUUUGGUGAGCUUGGUUUGGUUUUUGCCGGACAAAUCGAGUUUGGUUUGGUUUUUCGUGGAUAAACUAGGCUUGAUGAGCUUGGUCUGGUUCUUGGUGGAUAGGCUGGUGGGUUUCUUUUUCGGCGGGUCUUGUGCUUCUUUUUCUAACAUUCUUCUUCUACCAAGCAACUGUUUGCUCGGAAGCUGGGAUUCUGAGCAGGCACAAUAGAGAAUAGAAGUAAAGAGGAACAACACAAGAUAAAGCAGAAGUACCUUUCUGAGACUGAAGUACGUUAUAAGUGGAGCCAUUUCUGAAACCGAGGUAUAUUGCCUUGAAGUUUUCUGUUAGGGGUGCUUCAAAGAUCAAACAGACUUUCGAUUGGAUCCAGAAUUAUUAUAGGAGAGAGAGAGAGAGAGAGAGAGGUGGAAAUUAACACUGGUGCAUUUAUAGUAGACAAAGGAAAGCAAUGAGAUGGGAGGAGAAUUUAAUGCGAAAACACUGUCACUGUUGAACUUUAAAGAAUAUGAAAUGGGUCACAUGGUGCAAGUAGGUACUGCAGAAUCCCCAACCUUUACCUACGCGGUUUUACCGGCCCCGUGUUGCUGCCAGUUCACUGCCUCUCUUUCUGUGCGAGUUCUAAGCAAUAAUGUAAUCAAAACUUAUCUAUUGAGCUUCGUGCAAAUGUUAUUUCUAUGUAAUCAAUUAUUCUAUAUAUGUCAAAGUAACAUCAAUUCACAGAAAUACUAUAAAUUUUAAAUAUACUUGUAUAUAUAUAGAAUUGUAU
Long non-coding RNA from Juglans microcarpa x Juglans regia, 1130 nucleotides. RefSeq lists it as uncharacterized. The transcript is spliced from 2 exons. The record is from RefSeq and is a predicted model, not a curated record. NCBI's taxonomy places the organism in Eukaryota, Viridiplantae, Streptophyta, Magnoliopsida, Fagales, Juglandaceae.